RNAcentral lists this ribosomal RNA (461 nucleotides) under uncultured bacterium. Its description in RNAcentral is "partial 16S ribosomal RNA". It matches the Rfam family "Bacterial small subunit ribosomal RNA", at positions 28 to 506 of the family's 1533-position model. The record is from RNAcentral.
GACGAACGCUGGCGGCGUGCUUAACACAUGCAAGUCGAGCGGAAAGGCCCUUCGGGGUACUCGAGCGGCGAACGGGUGAGUAACACGUGAGUAACCUGCCCCAGACUUUGGGAUAACCCUCGGAAACGGGGGCUAAUACCGGAUACGACACAGCUUCGCAUGGGGUCUGUGUGGAAAGUUUUUCGGUUUGGGAUGGGCUCGCGGCCUAUCAGCUUGUUGGUGGGGUGAUGGCCUACCAAGGCGACGACGGGUAGCCGGCCUGAGAGGGCGACCGGCCACACUGGGACUGAGACACGGCCCAGACUCCUACGGGAGGCAGCAGUGGGGAAUAUUGCACAAUGGGCGGAAGCCUGAUGCAGCGACGCCGCGUGAGGGAUGACGGCCUUCGGGUGGUAAACCUCUUUCAGCAGGGACGAAGCGUAAGUGACGGUACCUGCAGAAGAAGCGCCGGCCAACUACGU